CGAUGGAGAAGAUGGUGACUUGGGGAGCUGCAGAUGGACUCAGAGAUUAAGACGAGUGAGUGGGGUCCGUGGUCCACGCAGUCAAACACAUGCAGAUUCUGCUUCAACCUCUCCUUGUUGUAGCUCUCCACAGCUAGAGUUGCCUUUUGUCUUGGCUUCUGAUGACGGUGUGCAUAUUGAAGAGGCGGCAAAUGUCGAGCAACAU
Molecule: long non-coding RNA, 205 nt
Filed under: Malus domestica (apple)
Lineage: Eukaryota; Viridiplantae; Streptophyta; Magnoliopsida; Rosales; Rosaceae
Description: long non-coding RNA (MDOM_LNC002851)
Source: RNAcentral